Felis catus (domestic cat) is the source of this 1735-nucleotide long non-coding RNA. RefSeq lists it as uncharacterized. Lineage: Eukaryota; Metazoa; Chordata; Mammalia; Carnivora; Felidae. The record is from RefSeq and is a predicted model, not a curated record. The transcript is spliced from 6 exons.
UAUUUACUCUCUGGAAAGAACCCCCGCGGCGGGGAGCAGGAGGGGGAGGAGGGCAGGACACUCCCUGGGUUGUACACACAGCAGCUCAGGGUCCUCCAGGCCCUGAGGUCUGGGCUGCAGCUCCGCCCACUCAGCAGGCAAGGGUGAAGGAGGCCUCCAAGUCUUGGAAUCUUUGAAAAGGCUGCUCCUGGGAAAGCUUCUCCUCACUCUCACUGGGGCUCCCUCCCCUCCAGGCAGGAAUGGCCAGGCUGUGAUGCUCUCUGGCCUUUGUGAUGCAAUCUACCUGGGAUCCAACCCCAAAGAAGGCCGAGGAGUAGGGCAGGGGUCAUUGUCCCAACAGCUGGGAAACAGAAUCCAGAGUGGUUCAUUCAUAUAAAGAGAGACAGGGAUUCCCCGGGAGCAGAACCAGGAAUGCGAGAGCCCAGGAGAGCACCAGGAGGGUCUCCGUCCAAUUCCCGUGAGUCCAAGGGCUCUUCAAUUUUCCAUCCUGGGAGAUCUUCAAGACACGCAGGAACCCUCCCUGUUUACCAAACUGCUAAGGCUUCUUCAGAGUUUAAAAAAAAUCCCCAUCUCUGCCAAACCCUGAAGUUGCCUCAACACUUUCAAGAAGACCCAUUGUGGUCUUGCUGGAGUGUGGAAUUCAGGAUCAAGAUGCAAAAUUAUCAUUGUACAUGGAACCAUGUGAAUGUAGGAAUCCAAGUAAGACCCCAAAUGUAAAACCAAGGAGGAAGGAUAUUCUCAAGGCCCCUCUAGCCACAGAAGACAGAAUCUGCUUCUGUAAGUACAUCUUCCUGAAAAGACUUCCCAGUUCCAAAAUUUGCCACGUUUAUUCAUCUGACACAGGAUAUCCUCGUGACCCACAAGCCAAACAAAAGAGGUGCCGUGAUACCCACCAGCAGCCUACACCAUCGCCUGCAAACGUGCUGAAAGGUUUUAAAGCACGGCAGUAGUUCUGAAACAUCAACAACUCCUGGAUGGGUGGUUCCGAGACACUGACUGCUGACCCCACCCUGGAGUUUUCUGAUUCAGUAGGUCUCUGGGGUGCUGCUGCUUGGAGACCAUGUUCUAAAGCAAAGUGAACUAAAUAGAGACUUGAAAGCCAGUGCCGAAGCUAAACCAGACAGUUUUUCGGUCACGACAGCCACAGCGCAGAGACUACUGGUCAGUUUCAGUGAACAAGUUGUAUUUACAAAGUGACCUUCAGCAAGACGUUACAAAGAUCUGCAGGUACGUAAAGCAGAACAGAUUAUCUCUCAUCUAAAGGCAACGUGCUACUCAAAGGGUGAUGCACAAACCUAGGCAUCACCUAGAACGGGUUACAAAUGCAGCAUCUCAGGCCUUACUCCAAACCUUACUGGGUCAGAAAGUAUCUGAAUAGGAUCCCUGGAAUAUGAAAUGCACAUUAAAUCAGCCUUGACCAGUUCCCUCACUCACACCACCAUGACUGAGCACCUACUCUGCAUAAACCCUAGCAGUCAACUGCGCAGACAAGCCUUUACACUCCUGGAGCUUCCAUGGGGCAAAGGAUAAAACUCAAGCCCAGAGCUGUUGGACUAGGCAAGGUCACAGAGCCAGGCAGUGGUAGAGACAGGUUUAGAACCCAUGUCUCUUAAACCCUGUACAGUAGAAAUUAUACAGGCCACUGCCUCUAUCAAUAUCACAAACAUAAUUCCAAGCCAAGAGGAUACCAAAAAAUAAAUUACAAGUCAGGGGCACCUGGGUAGCUCAGUCGGUU